UAAUACAUGCAAGUCGGACGGGAUUGGAGAGCUUGCUUUCCAUGAGAGUGGCGCACGGGUGCGUAACACGUAUGCAACCUACCUUUACCAGGGGGAUAGCCUCUCGAAAGAGAGAUUAAGACCGCAUAACAUUAUUGAAUGGCAUCAUUUAAUAAUCAAAUAUUUAUAGGGUAAAGAUGGGCAUGCGGAACAUUAGCUAGUUGGUGAGGUAACGGCUCACCAAGGCUACGAUGUUUAGGGGAUCUGAGAGGAUGACCCCCCACACUGGUACUGAGACACGGACCAGACUCCUACGGGAGGCAGCAGUAAGGAAUAUUGGUCAAUGGGCGGAAGCCUGAACCAGCCAUGCCGCGUGCAGGAAGACGGCCCUACGGGUUGUAAACUGCUUUUGUACCGGAAUAAACCUU
Molecule: ribosomal RNA, 407 nt
Filed under: Bacteroidetes bacterium BAL140
Lineage: Bacteria; Pseudomonadati; Bacteroidota
Description: bacterial SSU rRNA
Rfam family: Bacterial small subunit ribosomal RNA
Source: RNAcentral